UUAGGUAGAGGUUGCGGGUUUCAUCAGUAACCACCCCCAUACGGCCCGGGAGGCCGGGGAGGGCGAAAGGGAAAACCGCCGAAGAGAAAAGUUCCCCCGAGAACUUUUCUACUGGGACGCAGCAGAAUAUGCUGCGUACUGUCACAGUAUCUGUGGAGAGCUAUCAGU
Molecule: non-coding RNA, 168 nt
Filed under: uncultured Angelakisella sp.
Lineage: Bacteria; Bacillati; Bacillota; Clostridia; Eubacteriales; Oscillospiraceae
Description: Lysine riboswitch
Rfam family: Lysine riboswitch aptamer
About the family: Riboswitches are metabolite binding domains within certain messenger RNAs that serve as precision sensors for their corresponding targets.
Source: RNAcentral